UAGUCCACGCCCUAAACGAUGUCUACUAGUUGUUGGGUCUUAAUUGACUUAGUAACGCAGCUAACGCGUGAAGUAGACCGCCUGGGGAGUACGGUCGCAAGAUUAAAACUCAAAGGAAUUGACGGGGACCCGCACAAGCGGUGGAUGAUGUGGAUUAAUUCGAUGCAACGCGAAAAACCUUACCUACCCUUGACAUGUCAGGAACCUCCGAGAGAUCGGAGGGUGCCCGAAAGGGAACCUGAACAC
Molecule: ribosomal RNA, 246 nt
Filed under: uncultured bacterium
Lineage: Bacteria
Description: partial 16S ribosomal RNA
Rfam family: Bacterial small subunit ribosomal RNA
Source: RNAcentral